GAUGAAGAACGUAGCGAAAUGCGAUAAGUAUUGUGAAUUGCAGAAUCCAGUGAAUCAUCGAAUCUUUGAACGCACAUUGCGCCCGCCAGUAUUCUGGCGGGCAUGCCUGUUCGAGCGUCAUUUCAACCAUCAAGCCCCCGGCUUGUGUUGGGGACCUGCGGCUGCCGCAGGCCCUGAAAACCAGUGGCGGGCUCGCUAGUCACUCCGAGCGUAGUAAUACAUCUCGCUCAGGGCGUGCUGCGGGUUCCGGCCGUUAAAAAGCCUUAUUUACCCAAGGUUGACCUCGGAUCAGGUAGGAAGACCCGCUGAACUUAAGCAUAUCAAUAAGCGGAGGA
Molecule: unclassified non-coding RNA, 335 nt
Filed under: soil metagenome
Description: partial contains 5.8S ribosomal RNA, internal transcribed spacer 2, and large subunit ribosomal RNA
Rfam family: 5.8S ribosomal RNA (bases 1-120)
Source: RNAcentral